UGCAAGUUAGUAUAAUACUAAAUACCUUUAACUUAGGAUUAAAAACAAAAGACAAUCUUUACUUGCUAC
RNAcentral lists this transfer RNA (69 nucleotides) under Lampsilis siliquoidea. RNAcentral describes it as "tRNA-Leu". The record is from RNAcentral. Lineage: Eukaryota; Metazoa; Mollusca; Bivalvia; Unionida; Unionidae.